Molecule: long non-coding RNA, 3810 nt
Filed under: Homo sapiens (human)
Lineage: Eukaryota; Metazoa; Chordata; Mammalia; Primates; Hominidae
Description: HSALNT0021462
Source: RNAcentral
CAGGAAGUGACGACCCUCUCUGCCUAAACCCCCUGUGCAGCCAUAUUUAUCUUCUGCUUCCCUUUGUGACCUGUUGCUGUCACAUACCCCUUUGUUCUCAUCCCCCAGGCCAGGGCCACAAUGCCCUCACUAAUACUCCAUUGCCCCCAUAGAGGACAGCCCCACCGUGCCAGGUACUCAAGUGGGUGCCAAAAUAAAAAUUUUUCAAAUGAGAAAAUGUGUGGUUGCUUCCCCUUCCUCACCCCAAAUUCAAAAGAUUCAGCAACUAGGCAGAGUCUACAGGAACGCAAGAUGAUGGGAUAAAUUUGAACCAUUUGAGUACACGGUUUAAAUUUUUUUUUAACCUAGAAUUCGCAGUCUUGGUUCUUAGCCCACUCUUCCAUAAAAUCUCAGUUCAUGCUGACAAUGGAAAUCUUUAGUAAUAACCUCAACCUUUAAUAAUAACAUGAGAGAUUGCUUCUUCUAGGCGCCAUACUAUGUAUCAAACUCCAUUCCAGUUUGAUACUAUUGCAACGCUUCUCAUCUUACAGGUAAAAAAAACCUGAAGUUGUGAAACAUACCUGCAUUUGUAGAACUCGUAGGCAGUGGAGGUAUUAUUUGAAUACAGGUCUUGCUGCUUUUAAAAUCUUCCUUCUGAACCACUACAGAACUUACAAAAAAAGCUUGGGCAAGCCAAAUAAGUUGCAUAAUUAAUUCUGUGUGUGUGUGUGUGUGUGUGUGUGUGUAUGCAUGCAUGUUAUGGAGAAUCCAGGACAACCACUUCAGAAAGGGGCUGGGCUGAGUGGGGGAUUAAAUUAUCCAAGGGGCCACCUCUAUUUCUCCUCCAUCAUGUUUAUACCAACAUCCUGUGUCAGGGAGCCCAAAUAUUUUCUCAAGGCCCCCAGUGUUUGCCCCGUGCCUCUUCUUACCCCCUACCCUGUGAAAUGCCGGGAGAAGAGGGUAGGAUGGAAAGUGUGAGCUUACAUUCCAGGAGCCUAUCAAAGGCCCUCCUCUACUAACCUCUCUACUAUGCAGAAGUACUUUGGAAGCCAUUUACAUCCAUGGGGAACAGGUGCUACUAUACCUCCUGCCUUGCCAUGCCCACAGAGCGAGCCCAGGAAUAAGUAAUUUCCAAGCUGUUACCUGGAAGUCCUGAAAAGGAGCACCUGCUUCCAACUCUCUUUUCUCCCAGCUUGACAUCAGGCCUGAAAUCCUACCUUAGAGAUUCAGUUCUUGAAGAUAAAGGCUAGCUGUUUCUUAACAUACACACACCUGUCUAUCAACUGAUGAAUGGAUAAACAAAAAGUAUAGUAUCCAUACAACAGAAUACUAUUCAGCCAUAAAGAGAAAUAAGGUACUAUUACAUAAUACGCUAGGCUGACACUUGAAAACAUUAUGCUAAGUGAAAGAAGCCAGCCGUAUUGUGCGAAAGGCCACAUAUUGUAUGAUGCUAUUUACAUAAAAUAUCCAGCGCAGGCAAGUCCAUAGAAACAGAAGACAGAUUAGUGGUUGCCAGAGACUGGAAGGAAGGGGAAUGAAGAGUGACUCCUUAAUGGGUACAGGAUUUCCUUUGGGGACAGUGAAAAAGUUCUGGAACUAGAUAGUAAUGGUUACACUGCAUUGUGAAUGUACUUAAUGGCACUGAAUUGUACACUUCAAAAUAGUUACAAUGGCAAAUUUUUUGUAUAUCUUACCACGCACACACACACAAAUGUAUAUACUCUUGUUUGAAAUCAUUGCUGUUGAAAACAAGCAUAGGCUUCAGCUUUGGAAAGAUCCACUGUGAGACCUCGAGCAAGUUACUGAGCUCUCCACUCCCUCAUCUGUAAAAUGGGGGUAGCAGUUGUUGUGAGGAUUAAAUGGGAUAAUACAUGUGAAGUGUUUAGUGUAUUGUCCUACGCAAUAAAUGUUAGCUUCUGUUAGCAUUAGUCCUCAACAGUCCUUUUAACCUCAGUGUAAAUUCCUCCCUGAAAGCAGUGUUUGAUGAGACUGUGUUAAAAUCUUCUGGAGUUAGAGCCACCAUGAGAACACAGGAUGCUCAGUGGGCAAAUGGGACCUCCUUUCAGGCAGAUUCUAAUUGGAAACGCUGUUCACGCCACAAAGAAACAGUACAUGAACCCAACCAGAGGUUACGGGACAGGGAAGAGAGGAGAAAGCUUGAUAUGGGUUGGAGUGUUGAGGGUUUAUUCAAAGCCCAUGGGGAGAAAUUAGGAUACAGAUGGAAAAUAGUAUUUUAGUUAACAGAAAGUGGAAAGAUUCCAUUCCAGAACUCCUGUCCUGGGCCAGAACCCUUUAAAAGCUCUUGACUCUGAAACAGGUGUCAGGCCAGCUCUCAGGGAAAGCCAAAGGGGCAGGUGGAAGGCAAGAGAGAGGAGGGAGGGUGGCUUUCCACACCCUGGCAGUGUGACAUCACCACUACCAACAGGAGACAGCUCAGUGCAGACACUGCCAAACCGGGUGCUUGAUAUUGGUGGUGGCCCCAUCUAAGUUUAUUCUCUCAGAUCCCCCCACCUUCCCUUUCCUCUAAAUGUGAAACAAAAGAAACUAAAUGCCUUGAUGGUAAAUGCAUAGUCAUCAUCCUUUUUAAAAUUAAAGUAUCAAAACAUAAACUUGGCUACAUAAAACAAUUUUUAAUGCAUUUGUGAUAGACCUUCAUUUACACUUACCAUACACAUCAAGUUUUCUUGCCAUAGCCACCAUCCGCCCCCAACUUCCUUCCUCUCUAAUCCAUUGUUGUUCCUGGCAGCUUACAAAUUGUCUUGCGUUUCAUAAUGGCUGGUGGCUGGUGCCUCUACCCAUAACUAGAAGGUAAAUGCAAGGGAUGUUUUCCCCUCCACCAAGAAAAGGAACAUAAAUUAUCCCCUGAAAGAAGUGCUGAAUGGUAUUAACAUCAGAUGGCUCUUGAUGGAUUAGGAAAGACCCCUGAUGUGCAAUUCAGAGAGUAAAAUGAAGACACCUGUGUCUUAAGUGAUCAUUUAAAGGAAACAUACAUGAGGUCAAAGAAGUAGGCACAGAAUUCAUGUGUACGAAUCUGACAUUUAACGAAGACAUUCUUCUCUGAAGAAUGGCACCAGCGGCGAGUGGCCAGUUUUUAUGUCUAGCCUGUGAAUGUUAUAGAGAAGCACAAAAAGCAAGGGGGCCUGGCUCUCUUGCAGGCCAAAGGAAUCAUACGCCCUGGAAAUUCCAGGAAAUUCAGUGGAAUGUCUUUCUUUGAAUUAUCACACCCAUGCUGUCUAAAAUGGUUCUUUCUUCCUCCGGUACCCCUUCCCAUUCUUUUCUGAUAUGUAUUUGCAACAAUGAGACACACGUUUAGACAUGAAACAGAUGUAACUCAAGUGAGUAACUCUCUGAGACGAGUUCUGUGGCAGAAUGUUAGGGGUCAAAGGUUCAAGCUGAACAACAGGUGUAUGUUUUAGGUGUUUGUACAUUCAGAGAAAAUAAUUAAGGUAUCUAGCAAUUCAGUUGUACAUCAAAAUUCUAAACACCAAACUGUUGAUCUAAAGGAUAUAUUUGGUGCCAUGUUUCAGGGUUUGUCAAUGAAAAAUUGAGCAUCAGGUGCCCAAGACUGAGGAACAGGACUGAAAGCCAACUAUCCCAUCUAGUGAUGCCCCAAAGAGCAAAGGAUGACAUCUGGAGAAGUUUAAAGCUAGGCACCCCCCAUAAUGGGGAGGGAAAGGCAGGGAAUCGCUAGGUCUCAGCAACCGACAGAUUUAAAUGAACAGAAACCAGCACAACACAUGUUUACCAUGUCUUGGUUCCAAUAUUUAUUAUUCUGACAGGUUAGGAAUACUAGGAUAAAUAAGUAAUAUUUUCUCUUACAGAAAAUUGUAA